GAAACCCAGUGUGAUUCGUCACACUAUCAUUAACUGAAUCCAUAGGUUAAUGAGGCGAACCGGGGGAACUGAAACAUCUAAGUACCCCGAGGAAAAGAAAUCAACCGAGAUUCCCCCAGUAGCGGCGAGCGAACGGGGAGGAGCCCAGAGCCUGAAUCAGCAUGUGUGUUAGUGGAAGCGUCUGGAAAGGCGCGCGAUACAGGGUGACAGCCCCGUACACAAAAGCGCAUGUGCUGUGAGCUCGAUGAGUAGGGCGGGACACGUGGUAUCCUGUCUGAAUAUGGGGGGACCAUCCUCCAAGGCUAAAUACUCCUGACUGACCGAUAGUGAACCAGUACCGUGAGGGAAAGGCGAAAAGAACCCCGGCGAGGGGAGUGAAAAAGAACCUGAAACCGUGUACGUACAAGCAGUGGGAGCACCCUUCGGGGUGUGACUGCGUACCUUUUGUAUAAUGGGUCAGCGACUUAUAUUCUGUAGCAAGGUUAACCGUAUAGGGGAGCCGGAGGGAAACCGAGUCUUAACCGGGCGUUAAGUUGCAGGGUAUAGACCCGAAACCCGGUGAUCUAGCCAUGGGCAGGUUGAAGGUUGGGUAACACUAACUGGAGGACCGAACCGACUAAUGUUGAAAAAUUAGCGGAUGACCUGUGGCUGGGGGUGAAAGGCCAAUCAAACCGGGAGAUAGCUGGUUCUCCCCGAAAGCUAUUUAGGUAGCGCCUCGUGAAUUCAUCUCCGGGGGUAGAGCACUGUUUCGGCUAGGGGGCCAUCCCGGCUUACCAACCCGAUGCAAACUGCGAAUACCGGAGAAUGUUAUCACGGGAGACACACGGCGGGUGCUAACGUCCGUCGUGAAGAGGGAAACAACCCAGACCGCCAGCUAAGGUCCCAAAGUCAUGGUUAAGUGGGAAACGAUGUGGGAAGGCCCAGACAGCCAGGAUGUUGGCUUAGAAGCAGCCAUCAUUUAAAGAAAGCGUAAUAGCUCACUGGUCGAGUCGGCCUGCGCGGAAGAUGUAACGGGGCUAAACCAUGCACCGAAGCUGCGGCAGCGAACGUAUCACCCAAGACAACUUUACGGAGUUGACGAUUGACGGAGCGAAGCGACGUCAAAGCGUUCAUUAAAGUCGAGUUGGCUUAGGGAUACGUUCGUUGGGUAGGGGAGCGUUCUGUAAGCCUGUGAAGGUGUGUCGUGAGGCAUGCUGGAGGUAUCAGAAGUGCGAAUGCUGACAUAAGUAACGAUAAAGCGGGUGAAAAGCCCGCUCGCCGGAAGACCAAGGGUUCCUGUCCAACGUUAAUCGGGGCAGGGUGAGUCGACCCCUAAGGCGAGGCCGAAAGGCGUAGUCGAUGGGAAACGGGUUAAUAUUCCCGUACUUGGUGUUACUGCGAAGGGGGGACGGAGAAGGCUAUGUUGGCCGGGCGACGGUUGUCCCGGUUUAAGCGUGUAGGUGUGUGUUCCAGGUAAAUCCGGUUCACUUUAACACUGAGGCGUGACGACGAGGCACUACGGUGCUGAAGCAACAAAUGCCCUGCUUCCAGGAAAAGCCUCUAAGCAUCAGGUAACAUCAAAUCGUACCCCAAACCGACACAGGUGGUCAGGUAGAGAAUACCAAGGCGCUUGAGAGAACUCGGGUGAAGGAACUAGGCAAAAUGGUGCCGUAACUUCGGGAGAAGGCACGCUGACACGUAGGUGAAGUGAUUUACUCAUGGAGCUGAAGUCAGUCGAAGAUACCAGCUGGCUGCAACUGUUUAUUAAAAACACAGCACUGUGCAAACACGAAAGUGGACGUAUACGGUGUGACGCCUGCCCGGUGCCGGAAGGUUAAUUGAUGGGGUCAGCGCAAGCGAAGCUCCUGAUCGAAGCCCCGGUAAACGGCGGCCGUAACUAUAACGGUCCUAAGGUAGCGAAAUUCCUUGUCGGGUAAGUUCCGACCUGCACGAAUGGCGUAAUGAUGGCCAGGCUGUCUCCACCCGAGACUCAGUGAAAUUGAACUCGCUGUGAAGAUGCAGUGUACCCGCGGCAAGACGGAAAGACCCCGUGAACCUUUACUAUAGCUUGACACUGAACAUUGAGCCUUGAUGUGUAGGAUAGGUGGGAGGCUUUGAAGUGUGGACGCCAGUCUGCAUGGAGCCGACCUUGAAAUACCACCCUUUAAUGUUUGAUGUUCUAACGUGGACCCGUAAUCCGGGUUGCGGACAGUGUCUGGUGGGUAGUUUGACUGGGGCGGUCUCCUCCUAAAGAGUAACGGAGGAGCACGAAGGUUGGCUAAUCCUGGUCGGACAUCAGGAGGUUAGUGCAAUGGCAUAAGCCAGCUUGACUGCGAGCGUGACGGCGCGAGCAGGUGCGAAAGCAGGUCAUAGUGAUCCGGUGGUUCUGAAUGGAAGGGCCAUCGCUCAACGGAUAAAAGGUACUCCGGGGAUAACAGGCUGAUACCGCCCAAGAGUUCAUAUCGACGGCGGUGUUUGGCACCUCGAUGUCGGCUCAUCACAUCCUGGGGCUGAAGUAGGUCCCAAGGGUAUGGCUGUUCGCCAUUUAAAGUGGUACGCGAGCUGGGUUUAGAACGUCGUGAGACAGUUCGGUCCCUAUCUGCCGUGGGCGCUGGAGAACUGAGGGGGGCUGCUCCUAGUACGAGAGGACCGGAGUGGACGCAUCACUGGUGUUCGGGUUGUCAUGCCAAUGGCACUGCCCGGUAGCUAAAUGCGGAAGAGAUAAGUGCUGAAAGCAUCUAAGCACGAAACUUGCCCCGAGAUGAGUUCUCCCUGAGACUUAG
RNAcentral lists this ribosomal RNA (2762 nucleotides) under Salmonella enterica subsp. enterica serovar Typhimurium. RNAcentral's name for it is "partial 23S ribosomal RNA". It matches the Rfam family "Bacterial large subunit ribosomal RNA". The record is from RNAcentral. Lineage: Bacteria; Pseudomonadati; Pseudomonadota; Gammaproteobacteria; Enterobacterales; Enterobacteriaceae.